RNAcentral lists this transfer RNA (63 nucleotides) under Bactronophorus thoracites. RNAcentral's name for it is "tRNA-Asn". The record is from RNAcentral. Lineage: Eukaryota; Metazoa; Mollusca; Bivalvia; Myida; Teredinidae.
GAGACGUUAAUUUAACUAAGAAUGGGCGGCUGUUAACUGCUUAGUGUGAUGGUCACACGUUUC